CUACGGGGUGCACCAGGAGCGAAAACUUUCCAAUGCAUUAAUGUGUGAGAAGGGAACCUGGAGUGAUUGCGCUAAGCGUAAUCUUUUGUUUAGGCUAAAGAUCUAUUCGAAUAAGGGGUGGGCCAGACAGGUGCCAGCCGCCACGGUAAUACCUGCGCCCCAAGUGGUGAUCACUUUUAUUGGGCUUAAAGCGUCCGUAGCCGGCUUAAUAAGUUUCUGGUGAAAUCCUGCAGCUAACUGCAGGGCGUGCUGGAAAUACUGUUAAGCUUGGGACCGGGAGAAGUCAGAGGUAUUCCAUGUGUAGGGGUUAUAUCCUUUAAUCCAUGGAGGACCACCUGUGGCGAAGGCGUCUGACUAGAACGGGUCCGACGGUGAGGGACGAAAGCUAGGGGAGCGAUCGGGAUUAGAUACCCUCGUAGUC
RNAcentral lists this ribosomal RNA (421 nucleotides) under uncultured archaeon. Its description in RNAcentral is "partial 16S ribosomal RNA". It matches the Rfam family "Archaeal small subunit ribosomal RNA", at positions 323 to 746 of the family's 1478-position model. The record is from RNAcentral.